RNAcentral lists this ribosomal RNA (440 nucleotides) under uncultured bacterium. RNAcentral describes it as "partial 16S ribosomal RNA". It matches the Rfam family "Bacterial small subunit ribosomal RNA", at positions 338 to 795 of the family's 1533-position model. The record is from RNAcentral.
CCUACGGGAGACAGCAGUGGGGAAUAUUGCACAAUGGGGGAAACCCUGAUGCAGCGACGCCGCGUGAAGGAAGAAGUAUUUCGGUAUGUAAACUUCUAUCAGCAGGGAAGAAAAUGACGGUACCUGACUAAGAAGCCCCGGCUAACUACGUGCCAGCAGCCGCGGUAAUACGUAGGGGGCAAGCGUUAUCCGGAUUUACUGGGGGUAAAGGGAGCGUAGGCGGUUUAGCAAGUAAGAAGUGAAAGCCCGGGGCUCAACGCCGGGACUGCUUUUGAAACUGUUGAACUAGAUGGCAGGAGAGGUAAGUGGAAUUCCUAGUGUAGCGGUGGAAUGCGUAGAUAUUAGGAGGAACACCAGUGGCGAAGGCGGCUUACUGGACUGUAAAUGACGCUGAGGCUCGAAAGCGUGGGGAGCAAACAGGAUUAGAUACCCCAGUAGUC